UUUCUAGACCUCACAUUGGGAUUAAUAUCUGUAGUAUUAAGUAUGAUUCUAAUCAUUAUAAGUACAUUUGUAAGACAUUUCCCCACUGGUGAUAGAAAAUGAGAGUAACUUUUUUUCCCUCCUGUUGUCUUUCUUCCUCUGAGGUACGUGGCACAAAGAAAGAGAAAUAGAACUUGUCACCAUCAUCAGUCCUUUAUUUCAUUCACUGGGGAACAUCACAACCUUCAGAUGUGUCUUAUCAGGAUAAAUGCAGCUGCAGGGAAAAUUAUUUGAAGGACUCGUCAGCCCCAUCCUACUCCAGAUUCAUCAAGGAUCCAGCUGAAGCCCCGUUCACACUACAAGCGACACGCAACAACAAAGCAACACGAUCCCAUUCAUUUCAAUGGAGAGCUGGCGAUUUCCGGCGACAGAGGCCGUUGGCGACCGAAUGGGGCGUGUCCAGCGACGUGACAAAGUUCAGAAUCAUUCAACUUUAUGCAAAUGAAGAGCGACUUUCGGGAGCAAUAGCCAAUAGGAAAGAAGACGGUAGAGCUCAUGUGAUCGUUCUCCUCUCAGCCGUAGAUAAACAUACGCAAUGGAAAAAACGGCAAGAAACCUGAUUCGCUGUGAAGGCAACCAGUAGUGAGAACGCCCGCUAGCAACCUCAUCACCAGCCACUGUAACCGCAGCUUCAUUACUGGCCAUUUGGAGGAGGAUUGUCCUUUAUCUGCUACACUGCACUGCCACUUCUGAGGCUCUUUAGAAGACCGCACUGAUGUCAAAGGUCAACCGGCAAGAAGCUGAGGGGGAACUCUCAAAAUUGGUACAAGAGACAGAGGACAGUGUAAGCAGUACUGAAACAUGUAUAGUUGCUGCUGCUUCUAACUGUCCCCAGUUUUUUUUUUUUUCUUGUGCAAAUGUUCAAAGCUUUCAGUAAACACUGGUUCAAAUA
Onychostoma macrolepis is the source of this 931-nucleotide long non-coding RNA. RefSeq lists it as uncharacterized. The transcript has 4 exons. The record is from RefSeq and is a predicted model, not a curated record. Lineage: Eukaryota; Metazoa; Chordata; Actinopteri; Cypriniformes; Cyprinidae.